AUGCUUAGAAACUGCUCAGAGUUACAUGGCUGAGGUCAGCAGGAGACCUGCACCUUCCCCACACAGGUGUUGAGGGCUGACCUGCACUGCAGUUGCUAAGUAGCGAGGUGGGGCUGGGAUGUGGCAUCUUUGGAGCAGGUGAGAUAAAGAGGAGAUGGGUGGGCUGCUUGUGUGCAGCUUUAUUCUGAUUCGAGUAAUGCUGCUGCAAUGUGCUUAUAUCAAAAGAGAAGUUACAGCCUGUAUGAUAGGAUUUUUGUUGUUCUGAAUUGAGACCUCCUUUUAUUCUGUUAAUCCUUUCACCGGCUGCAGGCUCUGUCUGCUCUUUUCAAGUGCACAGUCCACUGCUUUUAUUUCCUGCUCCUCUGUUCUGACUCUUGUACUUGGUCUGAUUUCUCUACUUCCUUAACUUCUGACUUGUUCUCCUCUUCUCUUGCCAGUGCUGCGAUAUGUGGGCUGCAUUUCAUUACCAUGGAGAGCAAAUCUCAGCCUCCUGUGCCCUUGUCUGUGUGCUGCAAUGCUCACCACAGAUAAGGGGGGAAUGCUGAGAAAAGCCUUCUCCUAGGAAGCAGGAGACAUUUUCCUGGGGAUUUUCUCAAAGGAGUGACACAGAAGGAGCUCCAGAUUGCCACCACCCUGAAAGCAGUGUGCAUCAAGCUUUUGCACUUUGCAUUGUACACGGCCGCUCUGCAAGAUGACUUCUGGAUACGCACAGACCACAGCAAAAAGGCACAUCUGUGGACAAGCAGACCAUUGCCUAUUUAUGGUGUGAGCCAAUUGAGAAGAAUAUAAAUUUUUUUUUAUUUUCAUUUUAUGCUGCUAGGUUACAGCUCCUUUUUACCUCCCCUGGUAAAACCGCAGUCAGAGGUAAGCCGCUAGCCUUGAAAAGCUGCAGGAUCUGCCUGGAAUUUUACCAAGCUGUUUGAACUUUGCCAUGGCUUUUCUUGCAAGUACUGUGGUGUGUUUUCAGCUCCCCAAGCCAGGUGAAGGAUCCUACUCCAAAGGAUCCUGAUAGACAACUGCAUGUUUGCACAGACUGUGAAAAUGUAAUAGUGCACUAUCACCCCUGAAGUUUAUUGCCCUGUGAGUGUAACUUGCACAAUGCAUUUUGGAUGAACAUUUCUAAAUUUCUCUUAAAAAAUGUAGCAUUUGAUCUUCCUCAGCACUAUGCACCUUUUUCAUACAGAGCAUCACAUCAAAAUGUGGACACCUAUCGGCUGUUCUUUAUUUAUAGUUCCUGGACAUUUAAUUUUCAUUAGUUAUGAAUCUGAACCUCAGACUCUAGUAAAAAAUGUUUUCUAGUGCCUCAAAAGCACCUUUGUGGUACCUUGCUUUUAAGGAAGACAUGACUCCCACCUUUAUUUAGCCACAAUUUGCAUUUAUAAGAGGACAAGAUGUUGAAUUACAUUUCUCUGCAGCUUAGGUCUGUCCUAUUGUCCUGAAAAAGUAUUGAAUAGUCGUGUAGGUUUAUACACUGUGUGCUCUGCCAGCAAGCACAACGUGCAACUGAAUGCUAAAAUAUUAGUCAGCAACGUGUGUAACAGAGAUAAGGAUGGCUCUUUCUUUUCAGCAACAAUUUUUUUUGUACACGAGUAAGAACCAUUGAGGUAAUCUGCAUUGCUCUCACAAGCUGGUAAACAGAAGCAUGUCCUGAAACUCCAGCUAGCUCCAAAAUCCAGUGCUCACACACAGACUUGGAGAGGGAGAAGACCCUUGCUGCAAUGCUGCUGUUUUCUGUGAUACCAGCACUUUCAUGCACAGACAACGUGAAAUAGUGACUUUGAGUUUGAUACUGAAACCCUGAAGGGAGGAAGGAUCUCUGCCCCAGAGACGCCGCGCUGCCAUCGGAUCGGAGUCGUGAUACCGCCCGCACACCUUCCAUCGUUCGGAAGGAAGUCUUUCCCCCCACGUUACAUGUGAGCUACCCGCCGCCUAACGCCAGCUCAGGGCAACGGGUUCUUGGCUCUUGAGCCGAAAACCUUCGGCCGUGCUGUCCGGCCGCGUUCCGCUGGAUGCCGCCCGCAGAGCUUCGCUGUUACGGACGGGCCGCUGACACGCGGUGUCACUUCGCACCUGCCCGCAGCCAAUCCCGCUCCUGUCCGAGUUUCCUUUAGCAAAACACGGGGCGGUCCGCCUAACUUCUCGGCUCGAACGUUUGACACCGCUCGGCUUUACCGACAUCGCCAAUACUUUACCCCGCUCCGACGCCUUCGGUGGGACGGGAGGGCGUUCUACCGGCUUACUCCGCGGACGGCAGCCGGUGCCAUCUACACGCCACCUGUCCGCAGCGACCCGGCACGGACCCGGCCAUCGGUCCUUACCGAUGAUGAUGGCACAGGCGCUCAGCAGCCCGAUCUCCUUCUUCAGCGCCACCCGCUCGGGGCCGCCGGCCAUCGUGCCCGCGCCGCUCUGCCCCGCGCUGCCCCGGGAGCCGAGCUCAUGCUCCGCCCCCAGCGGGGGCUCCGGGGGGGUCCGAGAGCCGGGAGCGCGCCGGGAUAAGGAUGGAGAGCGCCUCUCGGGGCCGCGCGGCGGGUGCAGCUGAUGCGGGGUAGCACGGAACGCAGCACAUGUGUGCAGCUGGGCUCACACGAGAGAUAACGGCGUUUAUUUGCCACGUGCGGGGCGCGGAGGAUGAAUGGAACGGCUGACAAACCGGCGGCCGCCUGCGGAAACGCCAGGGCUGACCACGGAGCGGAGAACCUUUGGCGCGUUCCAAGGCAGAUGACCCUGGUUUACAGUUGCUCGUAUCAAAGACACUGCAUGCUACAGACAGAGCAGACUGCAGCCAACAGAGUGCUUCUCAGAUACUGAUGGAGAGCGAAAAUGCAAAAGAAUAACUGCAGCAUCUAAAGGGCAAUUUUCCAAGUACAGGAGAAGAGGCAAACUGCAAGGAGAGGAGCCUUCAGCGAGACACCUCAAAGCCACCUUCUGAAGAGCUCUGUGUUAAAACCCACCAAACGCUGCAUGGCUGAGCGGUGACUCAGAGUGGUGCUUCACUCCUACAAGCAGGCUCCUGGCUGGGCGGCUCCAGAUUAUUCACUGGGUAACCUUCCUCCAGUAAGAAGUGUCCUGAACUGAAAGGCAUCUUUGAUCGACCACUCCUUACCAAAGUGAUCAAAACUCUAAGGGAAGGCAUUUCCUUAUGGAGAGAGGCUUCCUUUACCAGAGGUGUUUGCUGGAAGGAGCAGAGCAGGAUGGGCCCAGCAACAAAGGAGGAGGUAAGGGGCUGUUCCUGAGGGUGGAGUUAGCACUGCCACCGUUCAUCUGUGCAGGUAUCUGGUCUGGGAGUACUAACCCUGAUCCCAUGCCUGUUGAAAUCAGUGACAUGAUUUCUGCAGACUGUUGAAGGGACCAUCGAGAGGCUGAGGAGCAUUUAACAGCCCAGCCUGGCAGGAACAGUUUGUACUGCAGUACCCACAUGUGCUACACACUGGGCUGGAUGGAUCCUGAGUUCUGUGCGGGUGAAGGAAAUGGGGCUCACACAAUCAGGGCCUGGGGGAUGAGAGCCUGGUGGUCAGUCUGUUUUUCUUGGAUGACAAAGAUGUAGUUACCAAAAUGAGACUGCCCAGAGGUGCUCAGGCUUGGUGGGUUUUAUUGCUGGAGCCUCAAGGAAGCAGCCCAGUGAUGAAGGGUCUCCCUGCUUUGUCCCCCAUUUUGUACGUCUUUUCCCUUUGCUUGCUGAGGUUUCACCUCGGGCCUGCCUCCAGUUUGGAAACACUGAAUAGCUCUUAAUGACAGCAGCACAAACAAAACCCUAUAAAGACAGGAUUUGUGAUUUACGUGGGGUUAAUUACCACAACAAGUAUGUUUAUUCACUUCUCUAAUAAAUCCUAAAGACAGGAACAAGUACUAGCUUGAGCAGAUUCAUCCUGUGCAUACGUUUUUUUGUCACCAUUUUUGCAAAUCAAUGUGUGCAGGACAGAUAAAAAGAGAUGACAUUUCUCCCAUCAUGUAGGUACACCCAUAGCCCGUGUGUGCUCUUCAGCCCACCAAUGGCAUCAGCUUUUACUUUAGAUCUCUUGAGGAAAAUAGGCUCUUUUGUGACUUCUGCAGUGCUUUUUAAUUUAUUUAUUUAUUUUAAGGAAAUAAGUGGAUCAUAAAUGAAUAUUAACUACAGCAGUGUGAUCUAUUGCUCUGACACCUACUUGCCACAGGAGGAAGGUGAGGUUUCCAUUUGUCUCUGCUAAAGGAACGAGGUGUUUCUAACACGAGGUUAUUAAGCUGCAGUGAUGGGAGCUGGGGCAUGAGCAAGGCCCUGCGGUGUGAAACUGAGCUUCAGUGAGGGCACUCCAAGGCCCAUCACUCACUCACUAACAGAAUGACUUGGUUCCACCAAUCUGAUUUAUAGGAGAGGGAACUGAUGUAGAGAAAUGAACAGUGCUACUGGGGUGUGUGUUUUUAAAAUCACUGAGUGACUUCAUGUAGACCAAUGUUCAGCACUGUCCUGUUUGAUUGUGUUCUGAUAUACGUGGGUUGCAAGGCGGUUUUGUUGAGCUGCUGAUUCUGCUUUAGCCAUCUUCCAUGCUUCCAGUGUCCAUGUCCAUGCUGUGCUGACUGCAGUCCCUGGUUAUUUAGAGCAGUAGCUGCCAUGGCUCGGCACUGUGCCAGACGGGGCCCCCGCCGCGCUGAGGAAUUUGUGUCAGAUAGAACAUUUCGUACGAUGCAGAAGGUUCUGUCACCUUGAUUCGAAGGAAGUUGUUUGUGUUAAUGCUUAAAGGUAACGUGAGACAAGGCGAGCUCUUUACUUUGGAACACGCGCUGUGCCAUUGAUGUACGCAGUACAGUAAAUAUAACAAAGAGUGCACUGUGGUAUUUACACCCACCGCAAACACAUUUGCAAAACAGGAUUAUUUACAAUCCAAUAAAAUGGUUCUGCUUUUAAGGCAGAAGCCCUGUGUGCUCAGUGAAGUGUGCUCCUCAGCUUUCCUUACCGUUUAUCGACCCAACACAUCCCUCCCCAUUUUUUUAAUGCCUUCCAUUAAUAGUUAAGAAAAAACCUAGGGAAAACAAACACUCUUUUCCUGAUUGUUUAUUCACCAGUCUCUUAGGAACCAUAAUUACGUCUCCCAGGAAUUGUGUGUUUUAUCAUACUGUAUAUCUUAAAGAGCCACUUUAGGUAAAAUAACAAGGAGUGCCUUAUGAAGGAAAAUUGGAUUCAUUUUAAGACUUUUUUAACCCUCCAAAGAAUGGCUCUUUGUUUACUUCUUUAGUGCAUGUGGCAACUUGCCCAAGUAAAUACUAUGCUGCAUAAAUACCAGAGAUUGGUAUUUAUGAUAUUACAUAAACAUACUCUGAAUAAUGACUCAUUGUUGCGAUGAAGACGAACGCAAGCAAUAUACAUUGCAUUCAGUGCGUUGUUUCUUGUCACUUUAUUAAGUGGCAUUGAGUGUUGUAGGACAGAAUGACAGCGAUUGGAGAGGAGAAAUCCAAUUGCAUUAUUUAGCAGAUCUGAGUUUACAAAACAGAAGAGAAAACAGCCAAAACAGGAAGGUUAUGACGAUAACAUAGCAGAUUAAUUAUCAGUUUGCAGGAUAAGUUGUUAGGUGUGCGCUGGGGUUGACUGGAAAAAGGUUUAUUGCUCUUUGAAAUGAAAACUCAUGCAAUGUGUUUAUUCUGCUGUCCCAAGAGGGAGCUGAGCCCUCAGGUUCAUCAUCCUACCUGUGGUGAUGCUCACAUCCAACUGAGACAACAGUGUUUCCCACAUGGAGCCACACUUUUGGUGGCUUUGUUUCUCAGAACCUCAGUCUGUACAGCUCAAGUUUUGUUACACCUUUGCCUGCUCUCCAGAAAAAUCGUGCAAGGGUUUGUGUGAAGAUAAAACAUGGCACACUUUGCAGUGCUGCCUAAUGAUGGAGCUCAGAUCUGAGAAAUCAAACUCCCGAAGGGAAGGUGCAUGGGCCAGAACCUCUAUUUAAAGCCAGCAUGGUAUUAACAAGUUAUUUAUUUUUAAAGCCCAUGGUUACAGCCUGUCUCAUCCAAACAGCAAAAACAACGGGCAUUCAGUUUCUUAACGGGGCUACUGAACCAUCCCUUUAAAAAUGAUGAUGAAAAUUAUCACCCAUAAUAAUGGACCAGCCUGAAAAAUGUUAAUUUUUGGAAAUUCAGCCCCUCAGGAACAGCGGAGAAUUCUGCAAAGUGGGAGGGUGAUCCCCAUAAUACGUGGAGGAGUGGGAUGCCCAGCUGUGGGAGCAUUCUGUUCUCCUCCAUGACUGCAGGCCUGCAUGCUGUGGUUGAGGUGAACGCCCCUUGUGCUUGCGUGCUCAAGAAGAUAGCUGUGGAUGGGGCCCACAACCUCUGCAAAGUGCUUGGGUUUAUGGAAACCACUGCAUUACUGCAGGGUCAGUGACUCAGCAGCGAGACACACUGCGCCGGCACUGGAGAAUCACCAGAGGAGCUGAGAACUAUCCCAGAGAGAAAGUGCUGGUGCAAAGUCAUGAUGUCAGAGCUUUUCUCUGCGUGCUGAAGAUGCCAUGUCUGGCACUGAGAGUCGCAGUGUGGUGGAGCUACAGCUUUUAAUGGAAGUUCCCAGGCUGCGUGCCAGGACGCUGCAGACAGACACAUUUAUGGUUUUUCAGGUAAAAACAUGAGUGAUUUGUGACCAAGAGGAGGAUGUGGUUCUUUCCACUCCUUCACCCCAUCCCCUUCUAAGCCAUCCAAAGCACACAUGGCUCUGCGAUGGAACCUUCACAAGGGCAGGUAAACAAUAUUCCUAUUGUAAAUUACUUCAAUAUCUUCACAAAAAAAUUAGUACAGUCCUCACAAGCACAGACUGUUAAAGUGCUCUGUAAAUUACUUGUCUGCCUUCACUGGGUUAACUCAACAAGUCCAGCAGCUGUGGGGCUUAUCUCAUAUCUCUGCUGCUGAACCUGUGCUCUUUUGUCACUGACUCCAAUGUAUCACUUUGUUAACAUCGAACAGCUUAUGAAUUGGGAAAAAAUUCCUCUAGGAGUUUGAAAUUUCUAUUUCCUUAGUGAUCCUGGACCCAAGUAGACAGGACUCACACUGAAAAGGGACCUGAUGGCCAGUGCACAGUGUGCUGUAGAAGUGCAUCUCUGCAGCCAGCCCUGAACUUGCUGUGCCCACACUGUGUGAUGUUUGAAUUCUGCCAUCAGAGCAGGAACUGCAGAGCAACGUUUUGGGUUUGACAGUGAGGAACGUGGCAGCUCUGCAGCCUUGUGAUGCGUGUGACAGUACGACCGUGCUCGCAUGUACAAAGCCAGCUGCCAUCCGUGUUGCAAUGUUAAGAAAAGCUGAAGGCGUAUUAUGUCCAGCAACAGCCCCAGGGUGAACAGGAACAGGUGUGCUGGGUGCACUGAUCUAUGACAAAGCAGCAACUUAUGGCCUCAUGCUGCUGUUUUGUCAACCCGCUCACAGAGAAGUAUUUGUGCCAUCAUUGGUCCCGUGCUUCAUGGCAAUAUUUCUCUGGGGCUGUAAGCAGGGCACUGCUUGCCAUCUCAGGUUGGGUAAGUGCCUGAUGUUCCUCCUAACGAUUAUAUAAAGUCUUUGUGCAUCAAUUAGAGGUGGUGGGAGAUGCCUGUAUAUGACAUGCUGCACAUGCAGUGUUAUAUGCAGUUUUAUUACAGUGACUGGUGCUGGGCGAUUUCUCCACCAUCUCCUCCACUCAAGGCUGUUCAGAUGCCUUGUAGACCAAAUGCAUGGGGAGCAGUAGUAGUUUUACUAGGCCAACUGAUAAACAAACAUAUGUUGGGAGCCGUUCCCAGGGCCACGCAGCAGUUCUGUGAGAUGGAGGACUCCCGGGCUUUACCAAAGGUCCAGAAACCACUGUUUCUCCCCUUGUGGCCAGUCCUGUCUCAGCAAUAUUUUGAUUGCUCUCCUGUAAAAACUUUUCCUUUUUCCCCCUCUGGGCUGUUAAUGUUACCACAGAGAUAUUUUCUAUCAACCCACUCCAGAAAACUGAAGUUAUUCUGAAAAAGGAAUUAAGUAAGGAAGAUUUACUGCAGUUUAAAAAAGCCAGCACUUGCAAGACACGGCCCCCAAGGAACGCUCUGUGAUCCAGAGAUCAUUUCGUACCAUUGCAUUGGCAGUGCUUCCUUGGUCAAAGCCCUUCCGUGUUUCUUCCUGGGAUAUUAACGUGAGUUUAAUCAUCAGUUAAAACAUCUGGCAAGAUGAGACUUGUUUCCAGAAGUGGUUUGAUUGGAGUAGCACAUUGUAAUUCAAUUUCCAAUUUUAGUGGCACAUUUUUUGCAGCACUGAUUAUCAAGUAGUUAUUGAUUUCACCCCCUUCCCAAUAACUGGGGCAAAAUUCGGAAGCAUUUCAGGCUGAUCUUUGCAGAGCAAGAGCAGGACGGUUUGUUUAUUCCCCGUGUGGGAUUUGUUCUGCAUUGACUGCAUUGCUGGGUGUCCUCACCUGUCUGUGCUGCUGUCUCCUGGCUGUGUGUUGUAACCUGAAGGGGAUUAGAGAUGGCUGCAAGGUGAGUCCAGUUUUAACAUCUAAAGCUGAGUUAAUGGAGUCAAAUGGUACUUGGAUUUCUGAUUCUCUCAACAGAAGGGCCUCCUGCCUUUAUGAUGGAUGGCACUUAAUCACAAACCAGGACACUUCCAGUGUGGCAACAUCUCCAGGCUCUGCAGGAAGAGCCAUGGCUGUGCUGAGCCGGGUCUGCUUGGUGGUGCCAAGCCAAAGGAGCCCCCAGUCACCAUCACCAAGCCAUGAACACAGGUGGGACCAGGCCUGCUCCAUGGGCCCAACAGAGUGGAGUGUGUAUUGUGAGUAUUGCACAUACAUCAGGUGCCCUAUUGGCAGGGCUGGGUCCCUGUAACCUCAGGGGGUGUCAUAGGGUGAGAUGAAGCUUUGGCAGCACUUUAGAAAUGCAGGAUUGAAGUUACUGGUUCUCCCAAGCUUAUUGCCUGCUAUGGAUGGCCCCAGCAGGCAGUCUGCUCCAGCACUGCCCUAAGUGCACAGAGCACUGACCUGGCUCACACGUGGCACUGCCACUGUCAUAGCAUCCAGAGCUCUCCCAUGCGGUGGAGCAGAGCUCCUUUGCCCACGCUUGCUCUGUAGACACAAAACAAGGUGAGCCCACUGCCAUGCCAAGGGAUGUGUCUGUGUCUCAGCAACCUGCUGUGGCAGCAGCUGCAUUACCUGCAUAGGAUGCUCUUCCUGCUUUCGGUUUCUUUCCCUUUCUGGAUGUGCCACACUGGCACAUCCCCGUCCUGUCCCGGUGGUGGUGGAGCUGCCGGGAGUGCCCUAAGCCAACCCCAAGCCUUCAGCUGCUGCCAGAGCCCUGGCAGACCCUGCACUGCCCCAGCAUCCCAGCAAAACCUGCAGGGUGUUGGUCCUGCAGCCCCGGCAGCAUCCCUUGGAAGCUGCCAUCACCUCGCUGCCUGCUGUGGCCACCGAACGAUGCCUGGCAGAGGUGACUCAGCGGCAGGGAGCCCUGCUAAGGCCCUGGCACAUCCCUGCACUGAAACACUGCCUGCAGCCUCCUGCCUCUGCCCAGCUCGCCCUUCCUGCCGCCUUUCCCCUGGGGUCCUAACUCCCGACUUUGUUGCUCUAUAAACAUAAUAACAAUAAUUAUUCUCUCAUUGGACACAUAGCCAUCUUCUUUGUUUGCAGGCUUAGAUAAAUAUCAUUCAAAUCAUGGAGUCUGAUUCAUGAGUCAGGAUGAUGGCAGCCCUCCAAAACCUCCUUGCCCAUGGAGAGUGUGUUUGUGUGAGAGAGAUAGAGAGUUUCACUGUACGAAGAGUAAGAAACUGGAAGCCAAGUGAAUUAAAUACAAAGCAGAUAAUUAUGUGUAAUUCAUUUACUGACUAAUGAUUGCACCUGGUACAGAGGUAUAUGAAUCCAUUUCACUCCGCAUUUGUUCUCAAAAACAAUCUCUCUGCACAAGAUAAAAACUAGGCCUGUGUUUACAUUGGUGUUAUUGGCAGAUUCUGUCUCUUUGGUUCAUUCCCCCUUUCUUCUCACCAUGUUUCACUUUUCCUGAGUUUACCUGGUGUCUCCUUGGCAGUGACAGCUGCUCUGUGCAGGUAGGGGCCGGGUGUCACAGCAGAAUGGAAGCUUUGCUUCUCUCCUGCAGGCUGCUGUAUGCUCAGUUCACUGCUCAGGUCCUCUGUGAUGGCUGGUGCUCAAAGCAAGGAUUGCUGCUUCUUGCUGAGUGUGCCAGCACCAUCACACAGCUGGGCUCCGUCCAGUAAUCUAUCCAUUAAUGGGGUGCAGUAGAGGUAAGUGCACACUGUUUGUGCAAGUGUGAGCAGGCUACAUCUGCAGGCACUGGCUGAGAGCAGAUUUCUGUUGUGUGUCCUUUAAGGCCAACUUUGGGAAAGGAACCAACUGGAAUGACAAAAGGAAGAGGGAAGUUACUUGGCAGUUUGAAUAGAAGCUGGUUAGUAAAUCGUGGCAUGCUCACACUGAAAGAACACACUGUGUUCACCUGUGUAUGCUUUCCAGCAUUAUUUCCACUGAGUCUUUACUGAAGUGUAAUAGUGAAGCUGAGCUGGUGGCUGCCAAUGGAACAGCUGUAGCAGCAGAUCUAACCACCGCUGCUGCACACACACAGUGGGAGGUGUCUCCCUGCAGCCACCACCAGCACUGUGCGGUGCCAGCAGAGCAUCACUGCUGCCCAGCUCCUCCGCUCCCAGCACAGCACUGCCCUACACCCUGCAGCGCUCCCAGGGAUGUGGCACAAGCAGUGGAGGUGCUGCUUUCUCCAUCCGUGACAGCCACAGGUAACAAAAGCAUCAGCAAUUAAAAAAACAGAAGUAACCUUGUGCCCCAGUAUUGGAGUGAUUUAUCAUUAGAAAAGCCCAAACCAGCUCAUCUUGUUCGCAAGGGCUCCCACUGACUAAAGCCGCAGUCAGCACACGCUUCAGUUCUGAUCCCAUGCAAUCCUUUUCCGAUGAAGACCUGACAAGCCAGGACAGAUUGCAGGCCGGGAGAUACUCGUGGGGCGAUAGUACUUUACCUGUAGGUGGAUCCUCAUUUUAGAUAGCACGAAGCAGAGCUGGUGAGCUGAUUCACUGCUGUACUCCUGAUAUUCACCGGAAUAACACCACUGAAUCACCAGCAAAGUUGAAAUAACAAAUGAUAAAAUGGGACCAUUGUGUUGAAGUUUGCAGCACGUAUAUGGAAAUGACUGGCUCAAAUCAAAGGUAACAACUGGUGGGAACGACCCCAGCAUUCCUCAUGGGACUUUAUGUUUUAUUCAGAAGAAGAAUGAGGAUGAGGAGAACUUCAACAGCUUCUGAAAAGACUCAAUUUUGUGUUUCAUGUAUUUCUGCAGACCAGCUAAAGCUUAGAAACUGCUAAGUUAAGAAAGCACAGUCCUGGUUUCUCUUCUAUUUAUGAAAACGCUUGCAGAACAACUGAAAAGAGCUACGUAACUGUGAUAUUUUUGCAAGUAAUGCUCUGGAAAAGCAACUAAAGGCAACAGGCAAGCUUGCAAUUAGUAGUUCUAAUUAUAAAGUGUAUACAGAAAACAAUGUAGCAUCAUAAGUAAAGGCCAAGUUCAAAUGAUGCAAUAGGAAUAGUAGAACACCAUGUAACAAUGGGCAAAGCAUCCAGCGAGAGAAAUACUUCUAAAGGAGCCGCAGGCUUUCCCAUGAUAGCAACAAGAACAAAAAAAGGAGAAAAUAACAGCACUGUAUUCUAUGUAACUUCUACAGUAAUCCUUUCUCAGUGCCACCCAAUGCUCGUGCUUCUGUUGUAGCCCUCAAUCAUCCCUGGAUGACACAGCUGCAGAGUAGGACCCAAUUAUUGCAGACUGGGGGGGGGAGCUUCCCUGUGUUGUUUGUGUAUCCAGGGACCACUCUGUGCCUCGCUCCCACUUCCAUUAAUAACAACAGCCAUCAAAUACCCCUGCCUGCAGCAUUGUACUUCUACAGGCAAGCCACAUUUCUGUCACAUACAGGUUAACAAGUGUUUGAAAGAAGGAAAAAAGUAAGGAAGAUGCAGGGGUCUUUGCUGCAUAGCCUGGUGUGUAUAUGCGUGCCCCCUAAACUUCUCCAGUCUCUGACAGCACUCCAUGUACUGCAUGGGAGCUGCAAACCUCCACUGUUAGGCAAGGCCCUCUGCUCUGCACCAGUGUGUGCAGCAGCAGCACAGGGUUACGUGCUGCGCUAAAGAACUGCUCUCAAAAUUAAGUCCUGGGUGCAACCAGAGAAGGUGAAGAGACACAAUACCUUAGGGAAAUGGUUUUAUUUGUUCUGCCUGGAUGCAUAUAUGGCAAUCACCCAUGUAGCACGAUCCACAAUGCUGAAAACCAUUUCAUUAUGUUCUAUAAGUAAGAGCCUGAUGUGGUUCAAUUGUAUCAAUUAUGCAACUCUUCUAAGUGGUGUAGUCAAGGGUAAAUGCAGGCAAAGGGCACUCCCUUUGUACCUGCUUCUACUCUGGGCACUUCUAAUAUUUACCUGCUCCUCAUAUACCACAGACAGAUGAAUCUGCCCACUUCUACUUACCGCUGUAUCAGUGACUCCUCUUUGGUCAAGAGCUUUUCUUAUGCACCGAUGACACAAUAAAAUAGAAAAUGGAAGUCAA
Coturnix japonica (Japanese quail) is the source of this 12490-nucleotide non-coding RNA. The record is from RefSeq and is a predicted model, not a curated record. Lineage: Eukaryota; Metazoa; Chordata; Aves; Galliformes; Phasianidae.